CACAAUUAUACUAAGUAAUCACUGUAUAGUUGUAACUUGUAAUCUGAAGUAUUUUAUUUCGUUCGCGUUUGUCUGUUUUUCCUUGACGCUGUUCACAUGACGUUUGAUUCCAGUGAUAUGUCCGACGAUGAUUUUCCUUCGGAAGAUGCAACAUACGUUCCAAGAUAAUUCGAUUGUUCUGUCCCAUCAUAAACUUUUGAUUAUUCACAAAUGUAAAUAUCUUUAAGUGCAGUUUUGUUCUGUUAAUAUUUAUACAGUUAUUUUGUACAAAGACAAUAUUUUAUUGUACAUAUUAUUUUCACCAUCGGAUUUUAACUGGUUGCCUUUCAGCUCAUGUAAUUCGUAUUCCUUUUACAAUAAACAUACUACAUAGCACAUGAAUAAGUGGGAUGCACUGGAGUGAAUAUUCUGAGUUCGGCCCGGAGUUUCACAAACGAUCUGGCUGGGACUGUUUAGUCGUGAAUGGGGAAACCUCAAAAAACCGAAAUUUUUAAUAAAGUGAAAAAUUAUUGUUUCUGAACAACAUUAAUUGCGUCAUUUUUAGGAAUCAAUUAUAAUAUUUGACUGAUGAGGCUGGAUUUGAAUUCUAGUGCAUCCCUCCUUUCACUUUCAGUACUUCAGAUAUUAUAAUUACGUUACAUCUACAGGGUGUAUCAAAAAAAACUGAACAGAUUUGAAAUUGCUCUCAAUUUCGUAAAACACCUAUUUGUAUCCGGUUUUUUAUAUAUAUAGCUUCUUUGGGUACUUAUAAUGUAGAAUAAUGAAAAAAAUUUCUCGAACUCAAAUUUUGUGAACCAGGGGGGUGUGUCUUUUCCAACAAACUAAAAAUGGCUCGCGCACAAAAUUUAAAAGCUGUAAUCAUAUUUUGAGUUAAUAGAUGGAACAUCUGUCGGGUUUUUAAUUACUGUACAAAAUUUCAGACAAUUUCGUUUAGUUUAAGUCCUUUAACUAUUCAUUUUGUUCUAAAAAAUCAGCCUUUCGCAUGCUUAAUUAAUGCCUUUACCUAAUUUGCAUAUUGCUGACAUAUGCAAAUUAGGCAAAUGCAUUAAUUAAGCAUGCAAAUAGCUGAUUUUUAGGAAAAAUGUAACUUUGCGUGAAUAGUUAAGGUUAGUUAAACUAAACCAAAUUGCGUGAAAUUUUGUACGGUAAUUAAAAACCCGACAAAUUUUCCAUCUAUUAACUCAAAAUAUGAUUGCAGCUUUUAAAUUUUGUGCGCGAGCCAUUUUUAGUUUGUUGGAAAAGACACACCCCCCUGGUUCACAAAAUUUGAGUUCGAGAAAUUUUUUUCAUUAUUCUACAUUAUAAGUACCCAACGAAGCUAUAUAUAUAAAAAACCGGAUACAAAUAGGUGUUUUGCGAAAUUGAGAGCAAUUUCAAAUCUGUUCAGUUUUUUUUGAUACACCCUGUAUAUCAAAUUGAAGCUAUUGAAAAACGCUAUUUGGUGUAGAAAUUUCAAGACUUUAGCUAAAAGGGAAAUAUUGAAAAACUACAAACAUAAUUACCGAUAAUUUGCCGUUUUGCAGUUGUUUUUGUAUUUUUUAAAUAUUUUUCUUUUCGCUGAAGUCUUGAAAUUUCCACACCGAAUAGCAAUUUUCAAUAGCUUCAAUUUGAUAUAUAGCCCGACGUUUGGGGUCAAGUAUUUCUGCUCAUAACUCAGAAAAACUAUUUUGGCUUCAUCAAAUCAUAGGCCUUCAUCAUAGCAGUUAGCCUUCCAGUUUAUUUAUAGUUCAAUGGUCAGACCCCUGGUCAGACCAAACUUCAAACUUUAUAAACUUGGAAAUAGUUACCUAGAAAUCUUUCAGUUUAUGUAUUUCUGCACGUCUGUUUAUUUCAAAACUUCAAAGAAGAAAACUCCUACUGAUAAACAGACAAUAUUUCUGAAGAAAUAUUUCCAAAUUUACUAAUAAACAAGCUGACAAAGCUGUUACGAAGUUUGCUCCGAAUUUUAGGUUAGCCUAGGGUUAAGGUAAGUGGCUUUGGACAACCGCCCCCAGGCCUACUUAGUAAGAUAUUCUCGGAUCCUUUAUAUCCAUAUAGUUCCUGGUAUUUAUAUAAUAUGAUAAUCGACAAGCUAUUUUCAUAUCUGUAUAGUAUUUAGAACAUAUAAAGUAUAUGCACGUUUUAGUGAUAUAACCAGAACAAUGUAAAAUACGUAUUUAUUUUAAUAAAGUAUAUUUUGUAUAACAAAUCAAGUGGACCGAAUAAAAACACGAAACUUAGGAAUGC
Non-coding RNA from Paramuricea clavata, 2226 nucleotides. The record is from the annotation of a GenBank genome assembly. NCBI's taxonomy places the organism in Eukaryota, Metazoa, Cnidaria, Anthozoa, Malacalcyonacea, Plexauridae.